Molecule: ribosomal RNA, 650 nt
Filed under: Cladophialophora chaetospira
Lineage: Eukaryota; Fungi; Ascomycota; Eurotiomycetes; Chaetothyriales; Herpotrichiellaceae
Description: eukaryotic LSU rRNA
Rfam family: 5.8S ribosomal RNA (bases 262-416)
Source: RNAcentral
CUUGGUCAUUUAGAGGAAGUAAAAGUCGUAACAAGGUUUCCGUAGGUGAACCUGCGGAAGGAUCAUUAACGAGUUAGGGUCUUCUAGGCCCGACCUCCCAACCCUAUGUUUAUUGAACCUCUGUUGCUUCGGCGGACCCGUCUCAUGACCGCCGGAGGACCGUCGAAAGGCGUCCUCUGGCCAGCGUCCGCCGAUGGCCAACCACUUAAAACUCUGAAUGAAUCGUGUCAUAUGUCUAAGUCUAUGAUUAAAUUAAAGCAAAACUUUCAACAACGGAUCUCUUGGUUCUGGCAUCGAUGAAGAACGCAGCGAAAUGCGAUAAGUAAUGCGAAUUGCAGAAUUCCAGUGAGUCAUCGAAUCUUUGAACGCACAUUGCGCCCUUUGGUAUUCCGAAGGGCAUGCCUGUUCGAGCGUCAUUAUCACCCCUCAAGCCCCGUGCUUGGUGUUGGACGGCCGGUCGAGCGAUCGACCCCUCCUAAAGACAAUGACGGCGGCCUGCGGUUCCCCCGGUACACUGAGCUUUUAACCGAGCACGUAUCGGACCAGGGCACCCGGGACCCGGUCCUCUCCUUUAACUAGGAAACUUCUAAGGUUGACCUCGGAUCAGGUAGGAAUACGCGCUGAACUUAAGCAUAUCAAUAAGCGGAGGA